UGGCUCAGGAUGAACGCUAGCGGCAGGCUUAACACAUGCAAGUCGCGGGGCAGCGCGGGUAGCAAUACCUGGCGGCGACCGGCGGAAGGGUGCGUAACGCGUGAGCAACAUGCCCGUAUCAGGGGGAUAACCGAUGGAAACGUCGCCUAAUACCCCAUAACAACGAGGGCCGCAUGGCCCAUGUUUGAAAGUUACGGCGGAUACGGAUUGGCUCGCGUGACAUUAGCUAGUUGGCGGGGUAACGGCCCACCAAGGCAACGAUGUCUAGGGGUUCUGAGAGGAAGGUCCCCCACACUGGAACUGAGACACGGUCCAGACUCCUACGGGAGGCAGCAGUGAGGAAUAUUGGUCAAUGGGCGCAAGCCUGAACCAGCCAUGCCGCGUGCAGGAAUGAGGCCCUAUGGGUCGUAAACUGCUUUUGCUGCGGAGCAAUAAGGUGUACGUGUGCACCGAUGAGAGUACGCAGCGAAUAAGCAUCGGCUAACUCCGUGCC
This 493-nucleotide ribosomal RNA is filed under the name uncultured organism. RNAcentral describes it as "SSU rRNA". It matches the Rfam family "Bacterial small subunit ribosomal RNA", at positions 20 to 509 of the family's 1533-position model. The record is from RNAcentral.